AUUGAACGCUGGCGGCAGGCCUAACACAUGCAAGUCGAACGGUAGCACAGAGAGCUUGCUCUCGGGUGACGAGUGGCGGACGGGUGAGUAACGUCUGGGAAACUGCCCGAUGGAGGGGGAUAACUACUGGAAACGGUAGCUAAUACCGCAUAACGUCGCAAGACCAAAGUGGGGGACCUUCGGGCCUCACACCAUCGGAUGUGCCCAGAUGGGAUUGGCUAGUAGGUGGGGGAAUGGCUCACCUAGGCGACGAUCCCUAGCUGGUCUGAGAGGAAGACCAGCCACACUGGAACUAAGACACGGUCCAGACUCCUACGGGAGGCAGCAGUGGGGAAUAUUGCACAAUGGGCGCAAGCCUGAUGCAGCCAUGCCGCGUGUAUGAAGAAGGCCUUCGGGUUGUAAAGUACUUUCAGCGGGGAGGAAGGCGGUGAAGUUAAUAGCUUCACCGAUUGACGUUACCCGCAGAAGAAGCACCGGCUAACUCCGUGCCAGCCGCCGCCGUAA
Molecule: ribosomal RNA, 504 nt
Filed under: uncultured bacterium
Lineage: Bacteria
Description: partial 16S ribosomal RNA
Rfam family: Bacterial small subunit ribosomal RNA
Source: RNAcentral